This 270-nucleotide ribosomal RNA is filed under the name Priestia megaterium. RNAcentral's name for it is "Bacillus megaterium partial 16S ribosomal RNA". It matches the Rfam family "Bacterial small subunit ribosomal RNA", at positions 75 to 348 of the family's 1533-position model. Lineage: Bacteria; Bacillati; Bacillota; Bacilli; Caryophanales; Bacillaceae. The record is from RNAcentral.
GGUGCUUGCACCUCUUGAGAGCGGCGGACGGGUGAGUAAUGCCUAGGAAUCUGCCUGGUAGUGGGGGAUAACGCUCGGAAACGGACGCUAAUACCGCAUACGUCCUACGGGAGAAAGCAGGGGACCUUCGGGCCUUGCGCUAUCAGAUGAGCCUAGGUCGGAUUAGCUAGUUGGUGAGGUAAUGGCUCACCAAGGCGACGAUCCGUAACUGGUCUGAGAGGAUGAUCAGUCACACUGGAACUGAGACACGGUCCAGACUCCUACGGGAGG